Molecule: ribosomal RNA, 944 nt
Filed under: uncultured organism
Description: bacterial SSU rRNA
Rfam family: Bacterial small subunit ribosomal RNA
Source: RNAcentral
UUGACGGUACCCUACUAGAAAGGAGCCGCUAACUUCGUGCCAGAAGCGUCGGUAAUACGGGGGCUCCAAGCGUUAUCCGGUGUUAUUGGGCGUAAAGAGUCGUGUAGGUGGUUGGGUAAGUUAUCUUUCAAAUAUCUUUGCUUAACAAAGAGGAGGGGGAUAAUACUGCUCGACUAGAAUUUUCUCAAGGGAGAUCGGAACUGAGGGAGGAGUAGUGAAAUGCGUUGAUACCCUCGGGAACACCAGUGGCGUAGGCGGAUCUCUGGGAGAAGAUUGACACUGAGACACGAAAGCUAGGGGAGCGAAGCAGAUUAGAGACCUGCGUAGUCCUAGCCGUAAACGCGUGCUUGCUAGCUGCAUGAAUCUACCUUCGGGUGGUAUCGUGUGGCGAAGGUAACCCGUUAAGCAAGCCGCCUGGAAAGUACGGCCGCAAGGCUGAAAUUCAAAGGAAUUGGCGGGGAGGCACACAACCAGUGGAACAUGUGGUUUAAUUCGAGACCAACCGAAGAACCUCACCAGGGUUUGACAUGUAGCUGCACGUCUUAAGAAAUUAAGACUCUCUUGAAGGUGCUACACAGGUGCUGCAUGGCUGUCGUCAGCUCGUUCCGUGAGGAGUGCCCUUAAGUGGGACAACGAGCGCAACCCCUAUUACAUGUUAGAAAUGUCAUGUAAGACUGCCUUGCCAUUUGGCGGGGAGGAAGGAGGGGCAGACGUCAAGUCCGCAUGGUCCUUAUGCCCUGGGCUACACACAUGUUACAAUGAGUACGGCAAUGAGUCUGUCGCGAGCACGUAAGUGUAAGCUAAUCUCUUAAAUGUACUCUCAGUGGGGAUUGAGGUCUGCAACUCGACCUCAUGAACACGGAAUUGGUAGUAAUCGCGGGUCAGCUAUACCGCGGUGAUACGUUCUUGCCUCUUGCACACACCGCCCGUCAAACCAGCAAAGU